AAAUUCUAACAAAAAACCCCCCCCCCAAUAUUUUUGCUCCAGUUAAUAGUUACCAUGUGUAUCACGCACAUGCACACACAUGACAGUUAACAUUCUAACACAUCCACCCACCACAUCCUCAGUAAGUUAGUAAAUAAAAUGAGCUGCAAAUAAAGUGGAACACAGAAUAUUUAGAGGAAAUCUGCCUGUGGCUUAACAGUUAAUUUACAGCCAAAAAUGUGAUUAACAUUUGUGUCUUUGCAGGUUCAUAAGAGUGGAUAAAAGAAACUGUCUUAAGUGACGUUUCAAGUUUUGCUUCCUUUGAAGACUGGAAGAAUUUACACUUUACAGCUUCCCUGGAGUCAGAGAACCUAAAAGCAUGAACUGCAGAGGAGCCACUAGUCUGGGAGUCAGAGCUGCCAGACAGGCUGCCAAGAAGCAAGGUGAACAUACUGGUUUCUGGUGCAAUUUCUUCAAUAUCAAGACAGUUCCACAGAACACCACAUGUUUUUGCCAAUUUUGCCAGUGGCUCUAGCCAUUAUGUUAUAAUGCAAACAGAUUUCCUGGAAAUUACUAUGUGUAUUGUAAAUUUAAAAUAUAAGUCAUAAGCAACUCUUAA
Alligator mississippiensis (American alligator) is the source of this 598-nucleotide long non-coding RNA. RefSeq lists it as uncharacterized. The record is from RefSeq and is a predicted model, not a curated record. The transcript has 2 exons. NCBI's taxonomy places the organism in Eukaryota, Metazoa, Chordata, Crocodylia, Alligatoridae.